GUGGCGAAUAAUGAUGACUAGACUUUUUUCCCCAGCAGAGCGACUAUGUUGACCUCUUUGAAAAAUUAAGCCAAAUGUUCUGAUCUCGCCUA
This is a small nucleolar RNA of Engraulis encrasicolus (European anchovy), 92 nucleotides long. RefSeq annotates it as small nucleolar SNORD12/SNORD106. The transcript has a single exon. The record is from RefSeq and is a predicted model, not a curated record. NCBI's taxonomy places the organism in Eukaryota, Metazoa, Chordata, Actinopteri, Clupeiformes, Engraulidae.